GCAUCGAUGAAGAACGCAGCGAAAUGCGAUAAGUAGUGUGAAUUGCAGAAUUCAGUGAAUCAUCGAAUCUUUGAACGCACAUUGCGCCCCUUGGUAUUCCAUGGGGCAUGCCUGUUCGAGCGUCAUUUGUACCUUCAAGCUCUGCUUGGUGUUGGGUGUUUGUCUCGCCUUUUGCGUGUAGACUCGCCUCAAAACGAUUGGCAGCCGGCGUAUUGAUUUCGGAGCGCAGUACAUCUCGCGCUUUGCACUCACAACGACGACGUCCAAAAAGUACUUUUUUUACACUCUUGACCUCGGAUCAGGUAGGGAUACCCGCUGAACUUAAGCAUAUCAAUAAGCGGAGGA
Molecule: ribosomal RNA, 345 nt
Filed under: uncultured fungus
Lineage: Eukaryota; Fungi
Description: eukaryotic LSU rRNA
Rfam family: 5.8S ribosomal RNA (bases 1-125)
Source: RNAcentral